Canis lupus familiaris (dog) is the source of this 825-nucleotide long non-coding RNA. RefSeq lists it as uncharacterized. The record is from RefSeq and is a predicted model, not a curated record. The transcript is spliced from 3 exons. NCBI's taxonomy places the organism in Eukaryota, Metazoa, Chordata, Mammalia, Carnivora, Canidae.
GGAGGCCGGCUGAAGUGACCUGGGGAGUGCGGCCAGGGCUGAGAGCCACCUGUCAGGACCAGCAGGGGCUUCGGGGACCGGCAGCCUGCUGGAGGCCACCUGACCUGCUCACUUCUCAGGUUGGGGGCUGGACCCACACUGGUCGGCCCGUCCUUCUGCUGCACCGUGUGGCCAUUCUGGAAAGACCUGUCUUGUGCAGCUCACCCGACUGCUCAGAAUCCCACGAUCUAGAGGUUUCUCUGUGGCAACGGCACAGGAUGGGGACAUAACAAGCACCAGCUCACAAUGUUGUUGCCAAGAUUGAAGGAGAUGAGCCAUUCAAAACAUCUCAGAACAGCGCCUGGAGCAUACAGUAGGCACCCAAGACAGAUGAUUGGAUGAGGGCUGACAUCUGACCGAAGGUGAUCCAAUCAGAUAUUCUCUCCUUGGAGCAAUGACACUCAAGACUAGCUCAGCGUGGGAUGUGUGUUUGAACUACAGAGGUGCAAAUUCAGAACAUGAGGAUGGAGAAUAAAGAAGCGGGCUUUUCCUGGGAUUCCACGAGGAUACACAGGUUGGUUUUGCCUGACCAGCAUCCAUUCUGUUAAGGAUCCAGGUGCUCCCCUCCUCUGAGGCCAUGUGGUUUGUGUGCAGCUGGCUUCACCCUCAAUCUUUAGGGAUGAUCACACGGCCAUCACCUGGUCAAUGAGAUCAUCUCUUCCCUCUAGAUGCAGUAAUUAGUUCAAGGAUGGGCAUGUGACACCCAAGUCAGGCUAAUGAGAUUCAAUCGCAGGACUCUUGGAAAUCUUUGUCUUGGGGUGCCAAGCUGGUGGCAUCUGAGCCUGG